GAUGAACGCUGGCGGCGUGCCUAAUACAUGCAAGUCGAGCGAACAGACGAGGAGCUUGCUCCUCUGACGUUAGCGGCGGACGGGUGAGUAACACGUGGAUAACCUACCUAUAAGACUGGGAUAACUUCGGGAAACCGGAGCUAAUACCGGAUAAUAUAUUGAACCGCAUGGUUCAAUAGUGAAAGACGGUUUUGCUGUCACUUAUAGAUGGAUCCGCGCCGCAUUAGCUAGUUGGUAAGGUAACGGCUUACCAAGGCAACGAUGCGUAGCCGACCUGAGAGGGUGCUCGGCCACACUGGAACUGAGACACGGUCCAGACUCCUACGGGAGGCAGCAGUAGGGAAUCUGCCGCAAGGGGCGAAAGCCUGACGGAGCAACGCCGCGUGAGUGAUGAAGGUCUUCGGAGCGUAAAACUCUGUUAUGAGGGAAGAACAAAUGUGUAAGUAACUAUGCACGUCUUGACGGUACCUAAUCAGAAAGCCACGGCUAACUACGU
Molecule: ribosomal RNA, 496 nt
Filed under: uncultured bacterium
Lineage: Bacteria
Description: partial 16S ribosomal RNA
Rfam family: Bacterial small subunit ribosomal RNA
Source: RNAcentral